Molecule: RNA transcript, 1625 nt
Organism: Scaptodrosophila lebanonensis
Lineage: Eukaryota; Metazoa; Arthropoda; Insecta; Diptera; Drosophilidae
Gene name: NADH-cytochrome b5 reductase 3
Exons: 5
Source: RefSeq, a predicted model, not a curated record
CAUAGAAUCGAACAUCCUCACCAAUAAUCUAACGUAUUACGUAUUUCAAAAAUAAAAACAAAGAGCCAGCGACACAAAGAGAAGUGUGAAUUGAGAAGAGUUUGUAUGCCAACAAAGAGCAAGUGCGUGGGCAGGUACGUCAACGAAGCUUAAGGCAAACAAAACAUUUCCAUCCGUGACGCUGUGUCCGCCGCCCGCUAUUCAGUGCGUUUCUGUUGGCCAACGUCGUCUGCACAUCGGGAUUUGCGGGAAAUAUUGUUGCAGGCGCAGUGCCGAGGUCUGUGUACGUGCGUGUGGGAGGGAGCGACUACGUCAGUGUACUUGAUGUCUGAAAAGCAGAAUUAUAUAAUAAUAAUUCCAAAAGUGCCGAUUGAUUUUUCAACAUCACAAUCAUAGCCUUGCAGCUGCAUAUCGCAGAUAUUGUUAAACUCCUUCAAAUCCCAAGCCUUUGGAUAUGGCUCGUCCCGUCAUUGAAAACCAUCUUGUGCCGAUUGUAGUGGGUGUGGUUGCUGUGGUUGCCGGGGCCCUUAUUGUACACUACUUUCUGAACAAAAAGUCAACGAAACCGAAACGUGAACCAAAUCGUACUGCCCGACUUCGCACUCUGGUCGAUCCUAACGACAAAUACCAACUGCCUUUGAUCGAGAAGGAGGUGCUCAGUCAUGAUACGAGACGAUUCCGUUUCAGUCUGCCGUCCAAGCAGCACAUACUUGGCCUCCCAGUGGGUCAACACAUUCAUCUAAUCGCGACCAUUGACAAUGAAUUGGUCAUACGGCCGUACACACCCAUUUCGUCCGACGACGAUGUUGGCUAUGUGGAUUUGAUUGUCAAGGUGUACUUUAAGGAUGUAAAUCCCAAGUUCCCAGCUGGUGGUAAGAUGACGCAGUACCUGGAGAAUAUGGAGCUGGGCGACAAAAUCUCGUUCCGUGGACCAUCCGGACGUCUGCAGUACUUGGGCAACGGUACAUUCUCCAUCAAGAAACUGCGCAAGGACCCACCCAAACAUGUGACGGCGAAGCGUGUCAACAUGAUUGCCGGCGGCUCUGGCAUUACACCCAUGCUCCAACUGGUGCGCGAAGUGCUCAAGCGCAAUGACAAAGACAAGACCCAAUUGGCUUUGCUGUAUGCCAACCAGAGCGAGCAGGACAUUUUGCUGCGUAACGAGUUGGAUGAGUUGGCCAAGAAGCAUCCUGACCAAUUCAAAGUCUGGUACACUGUUGAUAAGGCAGCCGAAGCCUGGUCCUAUAAUACCGGCUAUGUGAACGAUGAGAUGAUGCGCAAGCAUCUCUAUCCCCCAAAAGGUGACACCCUCUGCCUGCUGUGCGGGCCCCCGCCGAUGGUUAACUACACCUGCAUACCGGGCCUGGAGCGGCUGGGACAUCACGCCGAUCAGCGAUUUAGUUAUUAAGUCUAACCCUAGUCUUAGAGCAGCGUGCGCAUUUUAGUUUCGCUUUCAUAUCACAUGCAAAAGGGAAAAUAAUUCGCAAGCAGGCUGGACCUAUAGUGUUGGCUUUAUCAAUGACGAAAUGAUUUCAGCGCAUUUGCUGCCAGCUGACGACGCGACCAUUGUAUUGAUGUGUGGCCCCCCGCCUAUGAUCAACUUUGCCUGCAAUCCUGCCCUCGAC